Cavia porcellus (domestic guinea pig) is the source of this 20605-nucleotide long non-coding RNA. RefSeq lists it as uncharacterized. NCBI's taxonomy places the organism in Eukaryota, Metazoa, Chordata, Mammalia, Rodentia, Caviidae. The record is from RefSeq and is a predicted model, not a curated record. The transcript is spliced from 9 exons.
CCCGCCUCUUGUAUUUAAAUACGGCGCUCAACAUGGCGGUACCUAUUUGGUCCGUCGGUCGCUGUUUUCUAGCGCAGGCCCUGGAAAAGACUGUUUCUUCAAGAGCCACGCUGUUUGGCUAACCACAGCUGCGUUUUAAUCCCUGAAGCCCUUUCAUCGCGGAGUGCGUGUGGGCUAUCGCCUGAAAACCAGCUGACCUUUAACGACCCUCACCACCUCUGCUCCGGAAGUGCUUGCUGGUCCCAGGGGCAAGGCUGGAGGCUUGGCGACUAUCAUGCAGUCAGUAUUUGCUUUGGAUCUUGGAAGUUAAGUCAAUUACCAUUGUGGUCGGAGUAUAUGGUGGAUGUGAUCCAUUACAAUGCGUCUUGUUGGAUUCUGUCACAUUCCGGCGGUGCCCCAAAGAAAUGAAAUCUGAACUUGUGCGUUGGGGUCCCUGAGCCCCACAGUGACAGGAUUUGCUUUGAUUCACGGAAGCAUGGGUUCCUCAUCAGCUACAGAUCUGGGAACUUCACUCAAAAGAAAAAAAAAAAAUGCUCCUAGUCUGAAAGAGGCAACAAGCCGGUAAAUGAGGGGUUCCUGCCACUCUGCUCCUCACUAUACCUUUGGGUUGGGCCAUUUCCUUUCCACUAUCACAUGACACAUCCCCUUUCUUUUGUAAAGUGGGCCUUUCCCCUGUGAAUGGGCCCACAAUUUCACCUGUGAAUUGAAGAAUUCAAGUUGUAGAGCUUCACAGAUUCCACAGAUUUCUGCCUCUGACAACAUGAAAUCAGUUCCAGACUAUUAGACACUGCCCUUAGGGGCCCCCCUGUGGACUCUCUGAAUCUAUGUAUCCUUUUUAGUUGUAGUAAGCUAGUAAGCUUCUUUAUCCUUUUUUCAGAUAGCUUGAAGAUUCUUUUUCUAGAGGAUUCUUUUUCUUGAUAAAGUCAGGUGAGCCAACAGUCACCCCCAAGAGUAGGGUGAGAUGAGUUUUCUGAUCUCCAGUUUAGGGAACCUCAUCAGAUCCUGCUCAGUAACAGAAGAAUGGAGGGGGAGGGAGAAAGGGAGGAAGAAGGGGAGGAGGCGGCAGAGGAGAGAGGUGAGGAGGAAAAAGGAAUCAUGACAUAGUCCAAGGUCAUCGUAGUUCUACAGGCAGCUGACUUAGUUAGAAAGAUUGCAAGCAGUCAGACAGCUGUGCAGUGGAAUGAGCCAGUACAGAAGACCUGAUACCUUGCAAUCUUGGAAGAGACAGAUAUUUCCUAUGGGCCAGGCCUCAAGAUGAGAUAAAUCAGAUGCACCCACAUACUUCCUAAGGAUAAGCACCAGGAAUUGAUAUUCUAAAUAUGUAUGGAUCACCUUGAGGAAGCCAGGAGUCACCAUCCUAGCUCCCUAUAUGAAGAGUCACUGCUCUAUAUUCAUGCCCACUUGUUACAGGACUUGCUUCCUCAUUUGUCCCCAAUUAAAUCAAUUUUACCUGAACAGUUAAUCUUACUGAUUGACCAUACCUCUGUCCCACCUGAUGCCCACCUUAUGAGUUCACAUGUUUUCCCCAUUUGGAACCCUGCCUCACCUUGUGGUUUUGCUCUGUAAAAGUUCUUAGAAAAGACCGAGUCUUUGGCAACCCACUCAGGAUCCCUUCUGUCUCUCUCAGACAGAAGCUUUCUUUCUCUCAAUAAAUGUAUUCUGCUUUAAUCUCUAUUCUUAAAGUUCAUUCUUCGAUUUUACAGAACAUGAACUUGUACUGGACAGCUAGUAGGUGGAGGGUUUCAUUCCCCUGUAUCAAUAGGGAUGACAAAGCAGUAGCAUCCUGGGCCUUAUUUGCUAUUGAUAAAAACGUGAUUUGUGUUUACUUCUGGGGCCAUCAGGUAUUUUAGAGCUCUUUUUGCUGUGAAUUAUAACUCUUCUCUUGGGCCUGUAGUUGGCAAAUAGGUAACUAAAACAAAGCUUGGUCUGUAUUUUGCAGUCUUUCUUUCUUUUUUUUUUUUUUUUUGCAGUUAAAAUUUUUUUUUUAUUUAAGGAGAAAAGAAAAAAAAACAGUGAAAGGGUACAAGUUAUACAGAUUUACAGAAGAAACAAAUGAACAGUAGGAAAUCACUAGUUAAUGGAUUACAUAUUGCCAUCUUAGAAAUAAUUGAUCAAGUCACAAAAUUAAAGCUUGUAGAGUGGACAUUCCAACAACGAUACUGCAAACAGUUCUGUUCAAUGAUCCAAUAAAACUCUGUGAUAUCAUUUUCUAUCUUAUACACUUAAAUAUACAUGCAGUUAUGUAGUUUAGAGCACUUUCUUUUCCUCUCUUUUGUACAAUGACUAUUACACAUUUUGGGUUUCAUCGCUCCCACGGUUCUUAUUGCUUUUUUGGAAGAGAGUAAAACCAAAUGAGACAUAACAGAACAGAAUCGGUCAAGUCAAAAGUGUGGACAUAAUAGAUAAUAUAAAAACAUAAUACAAGGUGAUCAACAAUGGUUACCAUAAUGCCUCCCGCUAUCUCUAAUAGAAUUGCCUAUAUCAUUAGUUAUAAUACAAUUGAACAAAACAGUAAAGAACAAAACCGACAAAACCAAACCAUUGGAGACAUUGUAGGUGUUCAAAAGUAGAUAAAAGUCAAUGAGAAUGGGCGUUAUAAUGAAUCUCAUUAUCUUCACAGCUGAUGCCUAAGCUUUCGAACCUGAUACUAUCCAGCAAAACAGAAUAGGGGAACAUCAGUCAAAAACAAGAUGGUGAGAGUAAUACAGGGCUUCAAAUCGAGAUAAUAGAAAGUCAAAGUGGGUUACUAUAUUAUAUCCUGCUAUUUUUUCCCUUUAAUUAAACGGAUAAAAAUAAAAAAGUAAAUAAUGGAGUGGAGAUUGAGAAAAAAGAGGGCAUAACAGCGAAACAGCACAGAUCAAAACAUAACCAUUUAAGCAGAAUAGUGUUUCACCACCAGAUAAUUCCGACCCAAAAGUAGUUACCAUAUUGACUCUUUCCUUGAAGUCCUUGAGUACAACUUCGUAUACUGUAGCAUUAAGUAUAUCAAAACAAUGUAAAACCAUUUAAGAGAAUGACAGCAUUACAGAGUAUUUAGAAUCGACUAACAGAAAAUGAACAAUGGUUUCUGUAUAAUCUCCUUGUCUUUAAAGGGUUUUUGCUUAUACUAUCAUACAUAAUAAAAUCCAAUAAGAUACAACCUGUUUAGACCAUUGGAGACAGAAGAACAAAAGCUAGAUGAGACUUCAAAACAAGAUGAUACUAAAUCAGUAUUACUUAUUAAGAUGUCAUUUUCUCCAAAAUAGCUGUUCCUAUCAUCCAAUCUUCUCUGUCUCAUUUCUGUUGAGCUCUUUUUCUGUCAGUAGCUGUCAGUUUGUCUUCUUCAUUUUGUUCUCUGCUCCAUUCGUUGUGGCCUCCCCGCCACUAUUUCUGGGUUCUUUGUAUUUUUCUUUUUUUAGAAUAUCCUGCAAUACCUUCUGUAGGGUUGAAUUGGUGGUUGCAAAUUCCCCCAGUUCCUCUUUAUCCUGGAAGCAGCUUGUUUUUCCAUCAAUUUCCAGGGACAGUUGUGCAGGAUAUCUCAAUCUUGGCUGGAGAUUAUUAUCUUUCAAAGCUUGAAUUAUUUCCCCCCAUGCUCUUCGUGAUUUGAUGGUUUGUGCAGAGAAUUCUGCUGUAAUUCUGAUGGGUGUUCCCUUGUAAGUGGUCUGUUUCUUGUCUCUGACAGCUUUUAAUAUUCUGUCUUGUAUUGAAUUUCUGGAAUUUUUAUUAUUAUAUGCCUGGGUGUUUCUCUGUUAGGGUUGUAGGUAGCUGGGGUCCUGUAUGCCUCAUACAUCUGAGUAUCUUUACCUUUUGCUAAAUUAGGAAAAUUCUCCUGGAUUAUUUCUGUAAGUAGUUUUUGUAGUUCACUUGUUUGUGUCCCUACUUCUUCUUUUAUGUUCUUAAUCCUUAAGUUAUGGCUCCUCUUAUCAUCUUCUUGUCUUUGUAUUAUUGCUGUUUGUUUCUUUGUUAUUUUUAAGAAGUUUUUCAUUUCAUUUUCCCAUAUUACAAGUCUGCCCUCCAUUUCAGAUAGUCUAUCCUUAGUUUCUUUCAAGCUGUUAUGCCAGUCUUGGAUAGACUUCUUAAUUUCUUGAUAGUCCCUUUGAACCUGCUUCACGUACUCUAUGCUUUCUCUGUUUUCUCCAUCAAACAAUUCUCCCCUCUUUUUCUGUUCUUCCAUUCCACCAUCUGUUUUUUCCUGGGUGGUGCUUAGCAUUUCUCUAACUAUUCUGCAUACUUCUAGCUUCAGGUCGUUGAUAACUUCAUUCCUGAAUUGGUCUAUGAGACUCUCUAUAUGCAGUAUUUCUUACUAUAAAUUGUGGUUCAAGUCUCUUUGUGGCUCUGCAUAGGGCCUGUUGAACAUGUAGGCUCUGCCUGGGAGCUGGCCAGAUAGAGUCAGUUAGCUGGGAAGUUGUGUGAUUCUGUCACAGGCAGUUGAGCUAAUUAGAAAUAUUACAGGCAGUCAGACAGGGCAGGGCCCUCAGAGGAGCCAGAGCAGAAGUUCAGAUAACUUGCAGCCUUGGAAGAGACAAUCACCUCCUGCUAUGGGCCAGAUCUCAAGACAAAAUGCAAAGCAAAUACAACCACAUCCUAAGUAUCCACAGUCCAGAUAGUUCUCUGUUACCCUGAGACAGUCAGGAGUCUUCUCCCUACAGGAAGAGUCCCUGUUGUUAAACAUGCCCGCUUACAAUGUGGCUCACUCCCUUAUUUGCUCCUAAUUUAGUCAAUUUUACCUGAGCAGUUGAUCUUAUUGGUUGACCACACUUCUGUCCCGCCUUAUGCCCACCUUGCAAAUUCCCAGUUUUUCUUAUAUUUGACUCAUUUAACUUCAUGAUUUUACUCUAUAAAAGUCUCUUGAAAAGACAGAGUCCUUGGUAACCUGUCUGGACCCCUUGUGUCUUUCUCAGACAGAAGCUUUAUUUCUCUCAAUAAAUAUAUUCUACUGUUAACCUUGGUUGUUCCUAAAAUUCAUUCUUCAAUUUUAGAGAACAUGAACUUGUACCGGACAUAGUAGGUCAGAAGUUUCAUUCCCCUAUAUCAAUGCCAUCCCUUUCAAGUGUUAGGACACCAAGACAAGAGGGUCUUUCAGUUACAGAAGCCUCCAGCCACUGUCCUGGACCCAUGAUCACCUGGAUUCUAGGAAAGGCAGAGACCCCACCUGAUUGGGACCCCCACCCCCCCAAGAUAGCCCUUUCCUGGAAAUAAAUUCAUCCCUCAGCCAUAAAGAUCCUAGACCUGUGGCACUAAGACAGAGAAGACUAUGGUCAGGUGGACCCCCCGGGCAGGCCAUCACAGCAUUUCAUGUUCCCAGAGUGUGGACACUUUAGAAAAUGCUUAAGGAAAAUGUGAUUACUUUUCUUGAACCCCAGUGUGAAUUUGCACUGAAUGGAUUGAAUGUUAAGAAGAAAGCUUACUGAGAUCAUUGUGUUGCAUUCCAUGAAAUGUGUGAAGCACAUUCUCUACUCUGAUGAUGGUAGGAGCAUGAAAAUUUUUCUUCCUUCCAUUACCUCAAGUAGAAAAUCAAAUGGCCCAACCAUUACAUAUAAAGGCUAUAUAGUUUCUUAAAAUAAAUACAUCCAUGUGCACAUGCAUAUGUUUUUCUCCCUAUCAUCUAUCUGUUUUAACUCAGACAUUACUAGAGAGUGAAUUGUAACCUCCCAGAAAUUAGUAUGUUGCAUCGAAAUACCAAUUUCCUGUCCAUCAGAAUUUGUGUGUAUUUGGAGAUAGCAGCUUUAAAAAGAUGACUGAGUUAAAAUUAAAUCACUGGAGUGUGCAGAAGCCAGCAUGACUGGUGUCUUUUGAGAAGAAGAAAUUUGGACACAGGUAGAGUAGGUAUGUCAUUCAAACAUGAAGACAGAGAAAGUCACCCUUACUCCACCGUGAUCUUAAGUUUCCAAUGCCCUAAUAAAAUAAAAUAAAAUAAAAUAAAAUAAAAUAAAAUAAAGUAAUUUCUGUCAUUUAAGUCAUACAGUGUGUGGUACUUUGUUACAGCAACCCCAGGAAAUCAUUGCCAAGGGUUUUUUGAGAAUGCUGAGUUCUGGAAUAUGUUCACUGUUUAUUCCUUCACAUCUGAAUGAUAAUCUUGCUCUGUGCAUACUGUAUGCAAAUUUCUUCUCAUAAAACCUCCAGUGCACAUUAAGAGAAGUGUAGACAUUCCAGUACAUUAAAAACUGUCACACUGCUCUCAUGUCAGUAAGAAAGCUACAUCAGCAGGUUAGAUGAUUUUUGUUAUUGUUACUUGGCUGAUGCACAUGGGUUUUUAUGGAGAGAGAAAGCCAAAAUUACUCAGAUAACUUCCAAAGGCCAUUUAGUGUAACUGAUGAAUUAUAUGCCCCUUGACCUCUGGUUGCUGGAGAAAUGCAACAAAUAGGAUCAGUCCAUCUCUGUCUAUCUAGUGCAAAACAUCACUUAUAGAUGCUGUCUGUAGUUUUCUUUGAAAGUGAUUUGUAAUCUUUAUUUAUACCUUUUUGGUAUAAAUAAUGAAUGGAAGUUAUACUGCCAGUAAAUCUGUGAAAAGUCUUUUUCAGCAUUAACUCAUGGGGCAUAGGAAAUAAUUCUGCAUUUGUUGGGUUUACAUAUUUUGGUGUGCUUGGGAGAAAACUUGUGAUGGUGUGAACACUGACGAAGAGAGAUGGUAGUGUGAUAACCACCAUCCUUCACCCACCCAAGCUGGACGUGUUGAGCACACUUGUAAUCCUAGCAUUCUAGGUGGCUGUCAAAAGAGGAUCACAAGUUCAGCCUCAGCCUGGGGAAUUUAUCAAGAUACUCCAAGAAAAAAAAAUGUAAGGCCUUGGGUUUGGUCUCCAGGAACAAAUAGACAGAACAACACCACCACCAACCCAGAAUCACCAAUGCACACAUUGCCUCUGUCUUGUAAAUGUUUUCUGAAGAAUAAAAUGAUAGCCAAUUGUGUAGCAGUUAGAGUUUAGUUAUUAAGUGUCCCUCAGAGCAAGACAAAGAAGGCUUAAUUACUAGUCUGUGGCACUACUGAGCAGAAGAAACUUUAAGAGGUGCCUGCUUGUGGGAGGAACCUAGCUCACUGAUGCAUACCCUUGAAAGGAGUAUUGGAACCCAGCACCAGCUGCCAUGAGGGGAGGAGCUAUAUUAUGGCCCCACCCCCGUGAUGUUCUGCCUCUCCACAUUCCCAGAGUAAUAGAACCAGAAUCCAUGGACUGCAGCCUCUGAAACCAUGAGGUCAAAUAAAUCUGUCCUCCUUGUAAGUCUAUUUCAAAUGCAUUGUCUCAGCAGUGGCAAGUUGACCAACAGGGAAAUUGGGUCACAUGAUACUCAUGUAUUUGUCUUGAAUGUCUUUUGGUAAACACUUGAAAGUUGGGAAAAACAACUAUCUUAUACUAAAAAAUUGUCUAACUAAAAAAAGCCUCCACAUCCUGAGCCAUGAUACAUGAUAGAUGGACUUUCAUCUUCCAAAAGCUGUGAGCUGUGAGCUCUAUUCUUUAUAAAGUCAACAGGUCUCUGGCAUUUCAUUACAGUAUUGGCAAGCAGACUAAUACUGUAGGAGAAGAAAACCAACCCAUUGUUUCAAAGUGUGUACCUGCAACAAGUCCAAAGAGAUUCAUAAACUCCACUGCGGUUGUGUAAAGGUAACUUCCUGAAACUGCAAAGCAAGCAUAUGAAAAUAUUUCUGAUAGCUCCACCUCCACAUAGAAGUCAUACAUACUGUGAGACAAGUCCAACCUUUCAUGUAACACAGAUAUAAUGAGAAUUAUUACAGAGACAUCCAGUGGCUUCAACAGUGACAAGGCGGAAGACAAUGCAGUUAAUUUUGUUUGAACUCCAAAUAGAAAUACAUGACCAAAACAAGAGAAGAGAUUUCCCAGACUGCACUCAGUGGUGAAUCAGCUCACUAAUGCACUCUUUAGGUACAACAAUGAGAGACUAUAAAAGCAGACCUUCCUUUCGCUAACAGCAUUCCCAUUUCUCCAAGGAUGAGUGUUGACGGGAGAAUUUGAGUGAAGGUCAGUAACCAACACAACAGAAGACUGCAGGAGGCCUAUGUUUUAUUUUAAAAUAUUUUUCUUUGUCCCAAAUAUAGAAGAUAUUGCAAAAGGGAGAAAAGCUUUUGUGAGCCUUUCAUUCAGAGGUCUGUUGUGCUACAAAUACCAUUAAAGACUAUACUGUCCUUACUGAGCUUUUCUGGAUAAUCAAGGUAUCUAGGGAAUUUUUGGAAGUUCACUAACUCAGGAUGAAUAACAAGGAAUUUGGGGAACCACUUAUUCUUAACAGUUUUCCUACUCUGGUGUCUUGGUUACUUUUAUCUCAUUGCUGAGACAAAAACACCUGAUGCCCAAAAUGAAGGAAGAAAAGAUGUAUUUUGCUUACAAUUUUUGGAUGUUUCAGUCCACACUCAACUAGUUCCAAAGCAGCCUCCAAGCAGAGGUGCUGAGGGGCAGUUGUUCACCGCGGCUACAGGUAACAACAAAAAUUGGAAAAAGAGGAAGUAUACCUUCUUCCCUCCUUCAAAUUGUAUGCCAGCUCCCCACCCAUGGGUGGUGCAGUACUCACACCACCAAUCCUAGCCCUAGACAAUGAACCAAUCAGAAAUGCUAGACUCAGCCACCUCUAUAACUGCAUGAGGCUUGGGGGGGGGGCAUCCAAGCACAAACCAUAACAUCUUGCAAAGUGGUGUACCACUUGCUAUGGUUUGAAGAUACAUAUCCCUCCAACAUUUAUGUAUUAGAAGCUAUAACUCAGAGUGGUUAAUAUUUGGAGGUACCCUUAGGAGAUGAAUAGGUCAUGAAGUAUGCUCCUUCAUGAGGAAGUUAGGGGCCUUAUAAAAGGGUACUGGUAUUGCUCCUUUUCUUAUUUUUUUUAUUUUUUUUUUUUGUUUUGUUGGAACCAGGAGUUGAACUGAGGACCUUGCGCUUGCCUGUCAGGUGCUAGGGCAUUGAGCCAUACCCCUAACCCCUGGUGUAACUCUUUUUCUAUUUGCCUUCCUCUAUGUGAGCCACAGCAAGAAGACACCACAUUAGAGCCAACAGCAUCCUUCAGUACAUACUGGAUCUGCUCUAGCCUUAAUCUUUGGUUCUGUAUGAGAAAUAUAUUAUUCCUCAGUUGCUUUGCUCUCAUUGCUGAGACAAAACAUGUGACACCCAAAAUUAGGAAAGGAAAGGUUUAUCUGGCUUACUGUUUGUGGAGGUUUCAGUCCAUGAUCAGCAGUCUCCAAGGCAGGUUGGCCUGGCACAGGGGCAGCAGCCAGCAAAAGCAACAAGUGCAACAGCAGGGAAUGGCAAGCCUCUUUUCCUACCUUAUAUUGUACCCAGGCCACUCCUCCUCCAGGGUGGGUGUAACACUCAGAAAAUCUUGUGCCCUCCUCUUGCCCAGGAGGAGGAUAUUUACAAAGAACCCUGGCUCUCUGCCCAGUCUCUUAGUUAAACAUCUCAAGUGGACACAUUAUAUCAACCAUAACACAUUCCUAUUGUUUAUUGAGUGUUAUUGGUUUAUUGUGUUAAAGCAGCACAGAGGGAAACACCCUACCACACAGUAACUACCACAGACACCUGUGCACCAUCGUUUUUCAGUUGAGGUGGAGUAAUUGAGUUAUCAUCAAGACCUGAAGGCUCCCCUGCUCGUGAUGGCUUGGCCUUCUGGGUGGGAAGACUUGAACUUGACAAGAGAAUGAGAAACGGAGAUGGAGGGAAAGCCUGCUGUCAUCAGUUGGUGUGGCUGGCUAAGGAGUAAGACAGAAGUGCACUUGAACAUCUGGCAAGAUCUCCAAGCUCACCUAAAGAUGGAACUCUCUCUGGCAGUCCCUGCAUCCACACUGUCUCAUUCAUUAGUUUUGCUCUCACUGAGCUCAGUGGGCUGAGUUUUCUGGAGUUGGGUAGCUCCCAUCCUAAUUGAGUUCUGGCGCCAUUGUUAUAACAAAGUAUGUUGUGCAUGCUCUAGGUGAUUGUCAUAUCUGAGCUUAAAAGGCAUGAUGCCACAUGUGUAUGUGGAAUAGAGCUCAAAUCCAAAGCCUUUUACCCUAGAACAUGUACCCUUCAGGGACUUCUAGUGCUCAAUUCCUACAGGUCACCAGAUGGCAUCAUGUGAGAUUGCCUUAGUCUGUUUUCUGUUGCUAUAAUGUAAUACCUGUGUAUGGGUAGUUGUUAAAAAAGAGGGUGAUUUAGCUGACUGUUCUAGAACUGUUGCUGUAGAAGUCUGUGAUCAUGGUUCUGGCCACUGUAUUCGGUGAGGGCCACCUUACUGCCUCAUAAGGUGGUGGCCAAUGUGACAUGGGCCAUGAAGCCAGCAUCAGAGUGAGCUCACUUUUAUAACAGACCGAGACCCACAACAACCCAUUGAUAUGUUAAUCCAUGAGUGGCUUAAUCCACUCGUGAGGUCAGACUCUUGAAAACCACCACCUGGCAAAAGUCCCACCUUUGAAUAGCAUUAUUAUGUUUUACUUUUUUGCUACUGGGAAUCGAACUCAGGACCUUGCACUUGCCAAGCAGGUGCUGUACUGCUGAGGUAUAUGCCCAGCCCCCAUGAACAUGAUUUUGAAGAAUAACAUAAAUUUGAGAGGACACAUUCAAAUCAGUGCAGAGGGGGCAGAUUGGACUGACUUUAUUCAGCUGUUGGUAGAGAGAUUAUUAUUGCUAUUUACUAAUCCAUUUUGUUUCAGAAAACCAUUCCAAUGAUUUGUAGUACUGUUCCAUUCUGUUGCUGUGUAUUUCAUCAAAAGAUGACAUUAUCUUCAGUGGAUUAUUUGAAUAUCCAUUUUGCAAAGAUGAAUGAACAGUGAAAGGAUCAAGAUGAGUUCUGAUAAAAUUAUAAUGCCUCCAAGAAAUUAAGAAUCAAAAGCACACCCUUGGAGUCUCCUGGCCUUAUCAACACUUUGGCUUUAGUACUGUAAGAUUAUUUUGGAUCUCUAAGAAUUUUUAAGACAGUCAAUCUGGUUUGUUUUAAGUCCCAAGUUUUUGGUACAUCAGCAGUGGGGAACCAAUACUGUCCAUUUAUUUUUCACUGCAGUCUCUAUUUUCACAGAAAGAUUUAUGGAGAUUUAAAAAACAUUUAGACAGUCGUCUUUUGUCUAAGAUACUAUUUUCUAAAUUAUAAUUUAUUUAAAUGCUAGGACCCAGGACUCAGUUGACUGCAAAUUAUUAAAUAUAUUAUCCGUUCUCCCAAAAUGUGAUUGGAAGCAGUAUUUUAUGGAGGAAAGCAUGGACUUUAUGAUCCUGGCUCUUCCACACAAUGUGUUUUUAUAGAAAAUAUUUGAGAUUUGUUCCUAGUUUACAGCAAGGAGACAGAGAUGCUUCUCUUCCUUCCACUCAAUGGAUAUUAAAUCAUUCCUGGGGUUUUUCCUGCAACUAACACAUUUGUACUUUUACAGAAAUCAUACUAGAGAUAUUAAAGAUAAGGUGCUAGUGCAUGCCAUAUGUUAGUGAGUGAGAAGAGAUGAAGCACAGUUUUGCUUUGGUCGUUAGAGAGUUCAAUGACAUUACAUUAAGAGAUAAAUGUGGAGAUCUUGGAGCUGUCUCUUGCGUUGUAGUCAGUGUAGCUGCUCAGGUGUUGACGUGAUAAAUAGACUCCUAUAAUAUAUUGAUAUAAUUAAAUAUGCAUGUGAAAUUGACUGUGAUGCAGACUUACAGUGCUCUUUUCUGAUUUCUCCUUCACCCUUUUUAUUAUGUUCAGGUCUCUUUUUUGCAUAAGGAAUUAUUUUAAAUGUCUCACCUGUGGGCUGUCUUCUUCUUUGCCAUCAUAGCAUACUCUGUCCACCCACCCUCUCAAAACUCUAGUCCUCUAGACAAUUUUCAGGAAAGAGCCACCUGCCCUCUCAGACCUUACCCCGUGACUUCUGUUGAAAGCAUGUGAUGGACAGGUCACUCACCAAAAUGAUGGUGAUUGAAACAGUUAUGUAACACACAUCACAUUUGUGGUUAUGAUAGAAACCACAUAUAUGCAUGAGAAGCUUAAUACGAGGGAUGCUAAAUGUGUAUCUCCAGCGCCGGGACUUGUGUGAGAGUGACUGUUGCUCGUAAGCAGGCUCUAGCCAUCAGAUCGACAGGAGAAGCCUCUAUAACUUCGUACUACAGCGUCCAAACCAGUCUCGUAUCUGAGACAUUAAUGUGAAAACAUCUGUUUCCCUUUUGCUACAUGUUCUUGUAAAGCUUUCAGAAUCUCCGCAACAAUUCUGUGAGCAAUCCUGUUGCCUUCAGGUCAGGGGAGUAGUUAUGUGAAGGCAUCUUAGUACCAUGGAGACUAGAGAAAGACCACAGACCACGCAGAGUUGGAAUCCCCUCUCCGCUGUACUAAAGACAGCUGUUUUCACCACCGUAAGCUUAAGACCCCAUCAACAAUCUUAAAGCAGUACAGCAGAAGACUAGCUACCAUCCUUUCUGCAUCCUUUAUCAUUGUCUCUAUGCUGUAAAUGAGCAAGCCCUUCCACAUAGACUUAAGUUCCCGCUUGCAGCUCCAUCCUCUGUCCUAAGCACCAGCCAGAGUACCUGCACAUACCAAGGUGGGAGGCCUCCAUUUUGCCCUAGCUCAUCCUUCAUGCAUUGGUGGAGAUUUAGGGUACCUAAGGCAUAUCUGGGCAAAGGCUCAAAGCAGGAUUGAUGAGUACCAGUAUGUAUGUAAUUCUUUCAUGUAUCCUUGUGGUAUGUCUGAUACGAUAUUUUAAAUCUAGUAGAUGUGUAAAAAUACAUGUUCAUUUAUUAUCCCAGCUAAGCCGUAGAUACCAGAGGAAACUCUAGCAUUUCAAAUAGGCACCUUGGCCAGCCGUGGUGGCUCAUGACUGUAGUUCGAUCACUCAGGCGGCAGAGGGAGGAGGAUCUCUGUGAGUUCAAGGGCAGCCUGAACUGCGCAGUGAAACCCUGUCUCAAAAAUAUAUAUUUCUUGAGUUCUUGGCUAUUCAUAACAGCUGAUCUUACUAUAAAUUCAAUGAUAUGCUAAAUAUUGCUUGACUGUUGGUGAGUUAACACUUAUGUAAGUUAACAUUGUUCUGGUUGUCUUGGAUAAUGUUAUGUCAUCCCCCGGUUUAUGUUGAUGACUAAUUCUUUUGUUCUUGCCAUUCUUAUGGUAAUGCUAAUGGUGUCUCCAGAAGACAAAAUAAAUUAAUCUAUAGGCACCUCAGUCCUACCAAAGACUAAUCGUGGAAAUCAUUUUAGGUUUUCUCCUGCAACUUUCGCCUCUUUACAGUUUCUAUCACAUUACUUUAGGCAUGCAUAGCCCAUGAAAUAACCCACUCCAACUUAUGCAAACAGUCACACUGGUUAUAUUCUUAAGUACCCAGGUGCCUAAAUAUCAUGGGACUAUUACCCAAACAUACUGGAAACAAAAGUUCUGAAAAGCAAAUAUGUCCUUCGUUUGCAGAGAAAGGGUCAGCUGCUUUGAAGUUUGCUUGGUCUUGUUCCAUAAGCUUAGAAAGUGUAAUGAAAGGCAGCCCUGGCAGAAACUCAAAUUGUCAAAUACAAGAUAAAAAAUUCUGUGUGUGUAUGUAUGUAUAUAGUUACUAUAUAUGUAUAUUACUAUAUACAUAUAUAGUAAGUGGAAAAAAAAAGCAAGCACCUAGUUUUGUCCACUGGUUUUCCAUUUUGUUUUUACCUCUGCUGUGUGUUUAAACUCUAUAACUCUGUAAUAUUCCUGUACUGCAGCUGACAAAGCAGCACAUGAGAGAGUUGCCACAACAUCAGCAGAUGGUAGGAGGAGGACUGUUACCAGCUCCUCUGACUUCCAGUCCAGUGCAUGUUCUGUUUCACCUUGGUUAUCAAAUUCUGGGACCCAUGGACUCUUCAGAAUCUGUAGUUGACCUUCCAGAAGGUCAUGGCGUCCAAGCGCUCUAUGUACAUGUCUCUAUUUUUUGCCUCAGGGGAAGCGAAUUGGUAUUUCCAGUUUGUUAAAAGGCUUUAGAACCUUUGCAAACCAUCAGAGAGAAAAACAAACAAAAAAACCCCCACAAAAACAAAACACAGGCAAUGGAUACUAUGAAGCCUGUGACCAUUUUUUAUUUAAAAGCAUUCAUAUGCCUCUGCUAGAAAAUGCCUUCAGAACCUUUUUUCUCACACUAGUUCCAUAUUAAUUUUUUACGAUGGCCACACGGAUAGCGCUAAUGAACAGGUGGUGCUACGUCUUUAGUUACAUGCAAAUGUGAUGCGUGAAUUGUGCAGUCUUAAGCAGCAGUUAGCCAGGAUGAAAAUCACAGGUGACAUUUCUGUCUCUCUGAAUACAAGGUUCUCUGUCGUAAAGGGCAUUACCCAGAGACUGCAGCAGCCUUGAAGAUGUUCUCCCUUGCUGUUCAGGACAAAGGCACCGGCUGGGGGACUGCCACACAGCAAUCACGGGUCAAGGGCAGCCUCUGGGUUGGGAAGUGUGCAUGGCUGUGUGAACCUGCUGAGCCAAGAGAGAGUGAAAACAAUCAAGACAGGACUGGCCAUCAAACUCAUGACCUUGCUCUUGCCAGAAGUUGCCCUGAAGAAUCAGUAAAGAAGAGAACAGUGUAGGUGUUGACUGGGCCUGGAUAGGAGCUUCUGUUCAACUGGAUUGAGGACUAAAGGGAGUUUCCCUUAAAGAAAAUAGUCAACAGAGAGAUUCCAUGGCAUGCCUAGUGAGAAGAAAAAGAGACUGGACCACUGAUACCGACCCCAACCUUGUCCAGCUGGGUCUUGUAGCAAGAUUUGGUAUAAACAGUGGAAACAUUUCUGAGUCAAUUUUUUGCAAGAUAGGACCAUGCUCUACUGGAGACUCAGAGACUGGAAUUAGACCGGUCCAAAGACAUAGUUUUCCAAGAGAAGAUAAUCUUCACUAAAGCCUCGCAAUCACCGCGUCUGAUGACUUGACAGUGCCACGGCUCCCAACAAAUGUCUAAUGAGACAAUCACAGAUGAAUGUACCAUUAAGAGAUGUCUACUAGGAGGAGCAGGCCAGUCAUGACAACUACACAGGGAAAACCUGGAAGGAAGGACAUUCUACUGGCUGGUAGACCUUCAGGCAUCAAAUAGCCAUGGAAAGUCUAAGAAGCUGUCCUAGUCUAAAGAAGACUUUAGAAAAAUGUAACAUGAUGUGCCAGCUGAAUAGAUGUUAGGGAAAAGACUUUUAAUGCCUGGAGGCAUUGGAGCGUGAGAGGAUCUCCUGGGAAUGCCUGAGGGAUCACACUCAUUGAGGAAGCAGGUCAUGCAUUUACAGGUAAGGGGUUAAUGCAGAUUAUCAAUGCUCAUGCAGCUGUACCCAGUAUUUGGGGUUGUGGGGAGUGAGACAGAGUCUUGCUAUGCAGCUCAGGAUGACACUGAACUCACUGUGUAGCCCAAGCUGACCACGGACUCAUAGCGAUCCUCCUGCCUCAACUUCACAAAUGCUGGGAUUACAACUGUGUUCCACUAUGCCCAGCCUGUACUACAGUUUUGUAGAGGGUCCUGAAACUUCAGAAAGGUUCUUCUGUCACUGGCUACACUUGCUUCUGCCUGUUGCAUACCCCAAGAUUGAGAAGGUUCCUGGCUUGUGAGACCUAUGCUGUAUACAUUUUUGGGAAGACUCAUAGACUGCCUUGGAUUAUAGUUUUGAUUAAGAAACUCAAGUAUUUUUCAAGGCAAGCUGAUACCCUUUUUGAUAUAGGCUGAAUACAUCAUUUAUCCCAAGUGCCUCAACCAGAAGUGUUUCUAUUUGGAGUUUUUCAGAAGUUAGAAAACUGCAGAUAUGUAAUGAGGUAUGUGGAGGAGGGGACAGAAAUCUAAACAGAAAUUCACUGGCAUCAUGUACUUUAUAUACAUAGCCUGAAAGGAAUUUUAUGCGCUAUUUUAGUGUUCCAUCCUUUUGACUAGGACCUGACGUCAGCUGUAAAAGUAUUUACAAGGGAAAUUAUGUGCAUGCACAAUAAAUUUCCUAUCUUGGAGCAUUUUAGAUGUUGAACUUUUGGAUUCAUGAUGGACACUCCCUUGAAGAAGAAGGCAUGCAUAUUCUUCCCAGCAGCUGUAAACAUGAUGAAUGUGAUAAGCAAAACCCAUGAUUUAAAGGAGGAGAGCACUAAUCUACUCUAAGGCAGAAACAUCAUGGUGGAAGGAUAUUAUGGAGCAAAACUGCUUAGCUCAUGGAGGCCAGGAAGUAGAGCAGGCAAACCUGGCCAGAGAGGAAGGGACCAGGAACCCUAAGUCUAUGACCUCCCAAACCUAUUUGGAAGUGUCCUUCACCAAUUCCCCAGGCAGAUCCCAAAGUUAUCACUACCACAGAUGGAGACUUUUAGAGAAACUGGAGUGGAAACAAUUCUCUCUCUCUCUCUCUCUCUCUCUCUCUCUCUCUCUCUCAAACACUAUCAUUAUUUUAAAUGAACAGUGAUUUUUUUUCUUGCCCAAACUUCAUAUUAACAUGCUGGAAUGUUUAGGAUAAUUUACAUGAUUUUGCUUAGAAUUCUGACAUUUACAUAGGAAGAACUAGGCUCCUAAUAAAUUCCCUAGGUAGUGUUGGAAUGUUUUCUAUGAAAGCUUGAAACAAUGCUAGAAAUGAUACUUGGAAAUUUUCAGUGGUUCUUCUGAGUCAUCUUUCUAUAGUAGAACUGUGACAUAAGCCUAAAUUUUAGGUACCUAGGUGAUUUCAAAAGUUAGUCACAUUAAAGAAAAAGAAACUAUUGGAAUUAUUUUAUUUGCCCCAAUAGACCAAAUAUUACGAUUUCAGUUUGCAACUAUGAUUGCUGCUUUAUGCUCCACUUUUUUUCAUAUUUGGUGUUUUAAAUCAUUGCUUUAAUUACAGUACGUAUAGUGGAGCAAUGUUAACAGACUAAAAUUUUACUGGCCCUUAAUUAACAUCCACCUACUACAACCAUUAAUAGAACUAUAAUCUCUUAGGAUUUUAUUCCACUAGCUUAAUGCCAGUCUAAACUAGAAGAUUCUUCCCUGAAGUAAUUGUUAUCAUUCAGAUCUAAAAUGUCCCUGGUGGGCUUACAUAAAGUCAUUGGAUCAGGAGAGUGUAAACCUCCUCAGUGAUGACCAAUUAGUUCUGCAGAAUUUCUAGUUGAUUUGGCUGUAGAUGAAGGGAGAGGAUCAUGAGCAUGACCUUCUGGGCUAUGUCUUAUCUUUAGACGAUACUUCACCGGUUCUUUCUCACCUUUGCUGUUUCCUGGCUCCAUUUUUCUCCACUAUGCCCUUCUUCAAUGAGGUUUGUGCCUUGUCUUGAUCCUACAUCGGUGGAGCUGGCCAACUAUGGACUGAGCCCUUUGAAAUCAAGAGCCAAAACAAACCUUUGCUCCUCAGGUAUUUGGUCACAGCAAAAACAAAACCAAACAACAAAAACAGAAAAGAAAAGCAGUGAAGUACAGUAUACUUAACUUCCAAAUACAAGAUUUGCCCCCAAAUUUCUUCCUUGUCUUUAAUCAUUUCUCACAACUAUCUGAAGCAUCAGAGUUUGGGGGAAAUAAAUACGCACGCUAUUUGAAUUUGACCGGAGAGCUAAAUGUUUAGAAUGAUUUGACUUAGUCUUAUUUUGGCACGUACUUAUCAGAUAAGACCUUAAGUCAUCAAAGGAUAAAUGAUGGUAGAACUUUUCUCUGUCCACUUCCGUGAAAACAGAACUGGCAGAAACCCAAUACAUUAUUCCCUAAAUCAUCAUUUUCUUGUUUAAAAUUGUCUGCCACUUUAAAAAAACGGUCUUCCCUUCUUUAGUAAUAUUCACUGUGAGAAAAUAAAGCAAGAAUUUUGAAAGAUAGGGACUUCAAAGUAUAUCAUGAUCUUACAUUUUAAGAUCUCUUUAGAUUUGUAGAUGAGAUUACAAAUGUAAUUCAGAGUAUCUCGUGUCAAAAUUAUAAACAAGUUCAGCACAAAUGGGUGACAAGACCAUAAUAAGAGCACUGAUGUUUUGUUAGCUAUAAAAUUUAUAAUCACUUCGCCACUAUAAACUAUCUAAACACCAGAGAAUUUCACCGAGUAAAAUGGAUGAAUCUCUUCUCACACUCCAUUUUUUCUAGCCCUGGUACUAUUUUCCUUUCCAAAAGUAAACAACAUCCCAUUUGUUACAACCCAUUUGUUACAUAUCCUGUAAGAUUUUCCAUAAAUUUGCAUUCUUUCAGUCUGUCUCUCUCUGCAUGUCUCUAUCUCUGUAUCUCUCUCUAUUUCUGUCUGUGACUGUCUGUCUGUCUCUCUCUCUCACACACACACACAUACACACUCACAAUACUUAUUUUUAAAUAAGCUCUUUAUUGUAGGAGAGUUUUAGAUUGACCAAUCAUAAAAGAGAAAACCUUUUAUCUUUGUAUCUCAUAUUGUGCUUGCAUUCUUUGUGUUAUCUUACACCAACUUAGUGCUUUUGCCACCAUGAAUAAACCAGUUUAAAAUGCUUCUGUUAACUGAUGUCUAAACUUUCAUAUUUUGUGCUUUUUCAUGUUUCCUUUUUACCUCGUGUGCCUUUUCUAGUUCAAGGUAGCACAAUAUAGUUAAGCAUCCUGUCUCCUUAGACUCCUCUUGACAUAGUCAAUUUCUUAGAUUUGCCUAAUUUUCCUUUACUUUGGUACUUUUGAGAAUGACUGCUCAGGUAUUUUAUAGAAUUAAUUCCAAUUUUUUGAUGUCUGUCUCAUAACUAGACUGAGGAUAUGCCUUUUGGGGAAGACUCCACAAGAGAUAUACCUACUUAAUCUCUUACCCCUUUUUGAAGUAAAAGAGCAAGAAUUCAUGAAUUUACCCCCUAGGCAGGACUCACAUGAAUAUCACUUCAUGCAAACCAAGUUUUUAUUUCUGCGCAAUAAUUUUGCUCUAAUUUUCUUGUGAUUGCAGAAUUGGAAAUUUUGUCGCAAAGGAUGUGGGUUAGUAAUUUGGAGUUCUUGGUGAGGCUCUUGGGAAUUUCUGCCACAUUUUUUUCCACACAUGAGGCAGCUCCCACCCAGGGAUACUCGGGGAGUCUUUAUUAGGCGUUCAAGCAUGGGUUGCUAUCAAGCUGUUUCUAAAAAAUGAACAUGUCACCCCAGGCAGAAUGACAUUUGCACUUGUCUUUGAGUUGGCCUUGUGAUUGGCAUCUCCAUGAAGGACAAUGCUGUCACCCACUGUUCCUACAGACAGCAUUUGUAAAGACUCACUAAAAGACUCACUAAUUCCCCCAGUCAGUUCCCUCCCCCAGAGCUGAGCAUCUGAGUUAAUGAAGUGGGUCAGAGGAAACAAAGGCUCGAAGACACAAUGACCAUAUGGUUCAUACCAUUUAUAAUAAGAGAAUCUAAGAAGAAACCCAGAAAAGUCAGUGUGAGAAGGGGGAGGCAAACUCCCUCACUUUCCUAAGAUUGCAAAUUGCUGAAAUGAGUCUAAGAGUGUUACGUGUCACAUGGGAGGUGAUAAAAACACAGUUUGGUCCAGUUGUCCAUGUUAGCCAGCAUGGUAUGCUCUAAGAAACCUGGUCCUUUCUAAGGUAUAGAGCAGGAUCAAGAUAGUUUCUAUGUAAAAAGCCAUGGAGGAACUACUUUCAUCCUUGUGAACUGUGUGGUCUCUGGGCUGGAACUCAACUCUGCCAUUCUAAAGGGAAAGCAUGCCACUGAACAGACACAGCUGUGUUCUGAUAAAACUUUAUUUGUGUAAACAGACGGUGAAUUGAACCUGGCCCAUAUGCUUGAUUAUAGCAAAUGUGCUACACUACAGUAGCUUUCUUGUACACUACAGUAGCUUCAAGUAACUUUCUUGUUCGAAUAAGGAAAAAGAGAAAAGCCAGUUUGCUAAAGAAACUGUAUAAGUGCAGACAGCUGUCCCAAAGAUAUCAGGACAUAGCACAGUGGUCAUCUUUAAUUUCCUAUUAACUCAAUUAGGAUCCCUGUAUGACUUAUACUAUUGUAUCAUGACUGAUCUUAGUUAAAUCUGACUUGUUUGAAUACUGCAUAUUAUUGACAGAUUUUAAUCAAAACUGUUAGGUUGAUAGUAUCAAGUUGAGGAGUAUAGACAACUAUACUGAAAAUGACAAUGAUUCACCACAAUAUCAUUCUGAUUUGAUCACUACCUGUUUUUGUAGUUCUACACUAUCUACAAAGUGGUAUUUCUGUUAAUUCUGUUAUGCACUGAUAUGUUCAAUUAUACUUUAUCUGAUGAUAUAGCCAAUUCGGUUGAUGAUAAUAAGAAACAGCACAGUAACCAUGGUAGAACUCCUUAUACAGCAGUUUUAUAUGUUUUUUUAGUGUUAUGUGUCUAUAGGAAUAUGUUUAGUUCUGUCCUGCUUUGUUCUGUUUCUCCCUCUAAUAUAGAAAGGAUAGAAAUACAUGUUAAGACUCAUGCUUGUAUAAAACCUAUAAACAGUUUAUAAGAACUGAUCUUAUGACACAUGAUGAAAUGAACAAAUACUUUAAAGGAAAGAAAGAGGUACUGCAGUACCCACUGCUGAUUCCAGAGUGUUAUGAUGUGAAAUCGAGCAAUAUUAUUAAUCUUUGUUCAGAAGUAUUUUAAUCUAAUAAGUUUUGUUAGGUCUCAACAUAAAUGAAGAUAUGGAUAAAUGCAUACAUGUCUAAGUGUAUAGUUUUUGUUGGAUAGUUGAACAGAAUGGUUUGCAGUCUCCCCGGUUGAAUUCCCAUUUAUAUGUUCCACUUUUGUAUCUUGAACAAUUAUUUGUGGGGGGACAAUAUGUAUACAUCAACUAGUGAUUUAUUACUGUUUAUUUCUUUUCUUUGAAAGUAUGUACUAUUUCUGCCCAUUUUCGAUUGUGUUUUAUUUUUCUCUAAAUUAAAAAUAAAAAAGAAACUGAACAAGGAA